This 253-nucleotide ribosomal RNA is filed under the name uncultured bacterium. RNAcentral's name for it is "partial 16S ribosomal RNA". It matches the Rfam family "Bacterial small subunit ribosomal RNA", at positions 524 to 776 of the family's 1533-position model. The record is from RNAcentral.
UACGAAGGGGGCUAGCGUUGUUCGGAAUUACUGGGCGUAAAGCGCGCGCAGGUUGUUUGUUAAGUUGAGAGUGAAAUCCCGGGGCUUAACCUCGGAAUUGCUCUCAAGACUGGCAGACUAGAGUAUGGUAGAGGAGAGUGGAAUUCCUAGUGUAGAGGUGAAAUUCGUAGAUAUUAGGAGGAACACCGGUGGCGAAAGCGACUCUCUGGGCCAUUACUGACACUGAGGCGCGAAAGCGUGGGGAGCGAACAGG